This is a non-coding RNA of Pelobates cultripes (western spadefoot toad), 215 nucleotides long. The record is from the annotation of a GenBank genome assembly. NCBI's taxonomy places the organism in Eukaryota, Metazoa, Chordata, Amphibia, Anura, Pelobatidae.
CUGGGUCAUGGCUGCCUAAAAUGCAUCCAAACAUUCAGUGUCUUCUCCCUCUGCAUGCAGACACUGAACUUUCCUCAUAGAGAUUCAUUGAUUCAAUUCUGAUUGGCCAGGGCUGUGUUUGAAUCAUGCUGGCUCUGCCCCUGAAAUGCCUCUUUGUCAGUCUCAGCCAAUCCUAUGGGGAAGCACUGUGAUUGGAUUAGGCCAUCACUUCUAAU